UUGGGAGCUAACAUGUGUUUUUAUGUCAUUAAAACAAGGGAUUGGUGGGUUGUGAUUGAGAUAGCCAAUUUCUGGGGUGAAGGACACAUGAUGUAUAUUCUACACCUGGUUUUCCAAUUACAAGUUCCAAGCUAUGGUGUCAUCUCUUUGGCUUAGUUUGAAUUAGUUUAGUGAUGAUUAACUGAUCCUAUAAUUUAAUUCAAGUUGACGUUGUUUUUGUUGUUGUUGUCAGUAGUGGUGGUAAAUUGUGGUGUAAAGCUGUUCUUAUCUGCUAUUCUUUGAAAGCCAAUGUAAAAGAAGAAAGGAGUAUGCACGUCUCUCUUUUUGUAGGGGUCUAGUAGCAAGCAGCCUCGGUUGGUUCAAGAGCACUGAGCAAAGGUCAUGAGCAGCAAUACUUAAUUUGGGACCCAUUGAUCAUUUAGAGGAUAGACUAAAUAUCUCAAACCUGUCAUCUUUUUGGGGUUGGCUGGAAAGCACUGAACAAAGGCAAAUGAGUAGCACCUACGGAUCACCCCACCACUCUGGAACAACACCAUAGUGUACACUUGUUUGCAAACAUGACGCACACUUUCAAUGUCUCUUCUUCCAAAGGCUUUCUGGAGCUUGGCAUUAUCACUUACUUGCAAGCCUUUGCAUUCAAUUUUGUUUGCAAUUUUAUAAAAUAAGAUUUUCCAUCAUUCUAGUACCAUGAGGUGUCAAAGCAACACCUUUCCUUUUCUUUUUUUUUUUCUUUUG
Dioscorea cayenensis subsp. rotundata (Guinea yam) is the source of this 735-nucleotide long non-coding RNA. RefSeq lists it as uncharacterized. The transcript is spliced from 3 exons. NCBI's taxonomy places the organism in Eukaryota, Viridiplantae, Streptophyta, Magnoliopsida, Dioscoreales, Dioscoreaceae. The record is from RefSeq and is a predicted model, not a curated record.